RNAcentral lists this unclassified non-coding RNA (353 nucleotides) under Hevea brasiliensis (rubber tree). The record is from RNAcentral. Lineage: Eukaryota; Viridiplantae; Streptophyta; Magnoliopsida; Malpighiales; Euphorbiaceae.
AAAACAAUUAGUUUGAUUGUAGGCAGGUAGCGUAGAGAAAAGCAUAACCUCUUGUCCUCUUCUUAGGGUCAAAAGAGAACAAACUUCAAAGAAUUAAUCAAGAAGAAAAGAAAAUGGUUAACAACUCUUUUAACUGGCAUUGUUUUUCAUGGAAAGAGGAACCAAUUUCCAAUUCUAAUUGGACAAGUUCAUCAUGUGAUUUCCACAGGGUGGUUGUAGAAAUUAUUAAGGACAUGUACAUAUUCAACUCUUUAUAGUACAAAUUAUUUAAGAGGAUCUUUUUGGAAUAUGCAUGGCAUUAUGCCAUUGCACCAACAUCACUAUUAUUUAUCAAUUCAAAGAUGGGGACAGUU